GAUAAUCAAAGUUUAGCCCAGAACCACAUUCAAAAAUCUUCUAAAUAAGCCUUAAAAUAUGUUCAAGCAGGCAUUUUAUCUUUGCUAUAAAAAUAGAGUGUUAACGUUUUAGCGACUGUUGGAAUGACCAGCCCUUAAGCAUAACAAGCUGUAAUAUCCAUUCCCAUUAUAGGGUAAUCCCAUUAGGCUCCUGCCCACUCUCAAGUGAAUUAUAUACACACUGUGUACACCGCCUGGACCUUCGUGUGCGAUGAGAUCCUGACAACAGAAUUCCCUAAUAAUACUGAAAUUAAAGGUUUCUGCUCCAUUUCAGGAAGCCACUCCAGCAGGGCCUCAUUCAUGUUGCCUGAAAAUGCUGACUGCUUCCUCCUGACCCUGGCAGAUUUCCAGAAAGCCUGAUCACACACAUACCCACAUACAUCUGCUUCCC
Long non-coding RNA from Paramisgurnus dabryanus, 430 nucleotides. RefSeq lists it as uncharacterized. The record is from RefSeq and is a predicted model, not a curated record. Lineage: Eukaryota; Metazoa; Chordata; Actinopteri; Cypriniformes; Cobitidae.